This 3043-nucleotide long non-coding RNA is filed under the name Cinara cedri. Lineage: Eukaryota; Metazoa; Arthropoda; Insecta; Hemiptera; Aphididae. The record is from RNAcentral.
UUCAAGAUGGCAGGAGCAUUCGUGAAUCGUGGUAGUGUAAAUAUUAAAUAGGGACCCUGUACCUACUGAAUAACAAUAUAGUCAUUAUAUUUAUAUUUUAUUAGUUUCAUUAUAGUAAUUAUUUGUUUAGAGUUUAUUUAAUUUCUUUACAAUAACCAUUAACACGUUCACAAUACAAUAAGUCACUAGUUAUUCUAAUCAAUGGAUUUUAAAGCCACUCGUUUAAUCGGCAUUACCGACGAAUUUGGUCAUGACUGAAGAACAGGUUGGCUUUAAUUUGGGCGAACUCAGAAAGCUUUGCAAACCUUACAUAGACUAUACUCGCUCAUAUAUGGACCAAAUGCCAAACAACUUAUGCAAUAAGCAUCAUGUCACUGUUGACAAUUUCAUCUUUCAGUUUUCAUCUGAAGUGGUGGAUUUUAGUUCACAGUAUGGCAGCGACAUUAGCAUAUCUUACACGGCUAGUAAUCUUACGGGGAAACCAAGCAAAUUUCCAAAUUAUGGAGACUUUCCUCAGUCAUAUGUCAUGGUGAGUUUUGUAAUAAACUUUUUACAAGUGUAUAGGUACUUGGCACACAUAUUGGUCUAGUAGGCAUUGAAGCCAAUCAGCCUGUCAUCAAUUUAUUGAUAUAUUUUUUCUAUUUAUUACUAAAUUAAAUAAAACAUUUUUUAAUUAAAAACUACUUGAAUUCAAGUUUUUUUUUUCAUUUUUUCUAAGACUAAGUGUAGGUGUGCAUCAAAGAUUGGUAUUGAAGCCUUACCAAAUUUCUGUUGUAAUAGAUGAAGUUACCAAUGAAAUACAAGGUGAGGUACCGAGGAAAGUGGCACUUGAAGGAUAAGUAGAAAUAAAACAGUACAUAUAGUAUGAGUUUAAAGGAACGGGAUAAGAUAACUAAUGACAAUAAGCAGUGACAUUAAAGGUGAGCUUGAGGUUUUUAAGUUCCUAGGAUCUUUUGUAUAGAAGAAUAACAAUUUCUAUGAGGAUAUUAAAUAAUGGUGGUUGAAUAAAAUGGAGAGAAGCGUUAGGUGUUUUAUGUGACAACAAGAUAAAUAUAAGAUUUAAAGGUAAGUUCUACAAUAGUAUGGUGAGACUGGCUGUUUUAUGAUUCAAAGAAAAAUAGAAAAUAAGUGUAACAGAGAUGUGAAUGCUUAGGUGGAUGACUGGAGUGAUGAGAGAAGAUAGUAUAAGGAAUGAGUAGCUUAGGUGUGGCUUCGAUAGUAAUCAAAAUGAAAGAAAAAUAGACAGAUGGUUUGGACAUGUCAUUAGGAGAGAGGAAUCAGAAGCGGUAAGAAUUGUAAUGAAAAUAGACACAGGAGGAAUAAGGGGAGAGGAAGACUAAAAUAUGGUAGCUGGAUGUGAUUGAGAAUGAUGCGAGGACAGUCAGUGUAUGAGAGGCGGGAGAUCAGCUCAAGUAGAAGUUUAAGAUGAAAGUGGCUGACCCAAAAUAGUUGGGAUAAAGGAGAAGGAGAAGAAGACAUUUUUUUCUAUGACUAGAAGUGGUUAUUCAUUUUACAUUUUACAAGUUGAAUAUUAUUGCAUGUAACAUGUUUAACAUUACUCACUAGUUUAGUUUUUUAUUUUUAAUUAUUUAUAAAUAUGUAAUAUUUGUUAAUUACAUCAUUUUUGUUUUUACAGAGAACUUAUGGACCAUGGAAAGAUGUUGCACCAUCUAGAAAAUGUCCAAUAAUGCCACAAAAUGCAGAGAGAAUAAAAAGUGAAGAUUAUAUAAGUAUGAUGAUAGAAAAAAAAAUUAUUGAAUUAUCAACUUAUGAUUAUCUUAUAUUUUAGUAUUAGGAUUUGAUGUACCAGUUGUGCCCUUGGUUGUAUCCAUAUUCGAAACGUUCACACCUGGAUCUGUUGUGCGUAUAUCAGGAAAAGUUAUUGACCUUCCUGAUUCGAUGGCGUGGCGACUACUGUGGGAAGGAUUGCCUCAAAAUUGUAAUGGUUUAAGAUACUCAAGAUUGUUUGCUCCUAAAUUAAAAGUCAUUAAAGAACGGGUCAAGUAAGAUAAACAUAUACUGCUGUAAGACAAUGAAAGUUGCGAAUAACAUUAAUAUUCAAAUAUUAUGCGUGUAGUCAGAUAUGUAUAGAGUUCAAUCAUUCUCAAUUGAACUACUAUACCGAGUUGGAUGCCGUAUCUCUGGGAGGCAUUUUGAAAUAUCCUGAAACUGGUGAACUUGAAAUCUUUUCAAUACCUUUGGUGACUCAUACAAGAUCAGGAUAUGUUUAUGAUAACAACGAAGAAGACAACCAAACACUAUUGACAGAAAUUAGAGUUCCUUCAGUGGCUUCAAAAGUGAUUUUCUCCAAUAGUUUCAUUUUUCUAGAUUAUUUAUGUAUAACAAUAUAUGUAUUGUUUGUAGUUACCAAUGUCGACAAGUUUGGAUCCGUUUAUAGACCUUAUUAAAAACAUAGAAGAACUUGAAAAUGAGUGGCGCAAAAGUGUACCUGACAUAGAUCAUACUUUAAAAUUACCUGUAUGUAUUUUUUUUUUAUUUUAGUCGUGUUAAUAAAUGAAUCUUAAAAUUUGUAUUACUCACAUCAAUAAUAUAGGAUGAAACAUUAAUGCAUAUAUUUUCAUAUUUGGAUUUAAAAUCAUUGCGUCGGUGUUUAAGUGUUAGCAAACGCUUCAAUGCCAUUUGCAAAGACGGAUCUUUUUAUAGAGAACUAAAUUUCAAAGUAAGUACAGCAAUAUUCAUAAUGUAUGUACUUAUAAUUUAUUUUUUCUCUUUUGUAGCCUUAUUGGUCUACAUUUUCCUAUGAAAUGCUUAUGUCAGUAGAGCCUCAAUGUUCCCGAUUAGCAAAGUUGGAUUUAUCCUGGUGUGGUAUAACAAGAGGAAUAUUAAGUACAACAUUCAAUGUGUAUGCUAUUUGUGUUAAACAUGUAAUACUCACAAUAGUUACUAUUUGUUUUUAAUUUUUGAUAAAACAUUUUUAGAUUUAUAAAUAAAUGCGGUACCCAUUUAACUCACUUACGACUGGACAAUUGUAAAUUUGUCAAUGAUAGUUCGUUAAUUGCAAUAAAUUUGUUUUGCAAAUAUC